UUAGGAAACUUUUGCAAUGCGCGAAAGCGUGACAAAGCAAGCCAGAGUGCUUUUCUAUAAUUGAAAAGCUUUUGUGAGAUGCAAAAAGUCUCACGAAUAAGGACCGGGCAAGACUGGUGCCAGCCGCCGCGGUAAUCCCAGCGGUCCAAGUCGCAGCCACAUUUGUUGGGUCUAAAACAUCCGUAGCUUGCCUUGUAAGUCUUUUGUGAAAUCGGGCCUCUUAAGGGUCCGGCGAGCAGAAGAUACUGUAAGGCUAGAGACCGGGGGACGUAAGGAGUACGAACGGGGUAGCGGUAAAAUGCGUUGAUCCCUUUCGGACUAACAACAGCGAAGGCACCUUACGACAACGGAUUUGACAGUGAGGGAUGAAGGCUAGGGGCGCAAAGUGG
This 389-nucleotide ribosomal RNA is filed under the name uncultured euryarchaeote. Its description in RNAcentral is "bacterial SSU rRNA". It matches the Rfam family "Archaeal small subunit ribosomal RNA", at positions 339 to 727 of the family's 1478-position model. The record is from RNAcentral. Lineage: Archaea; Methanobacteriati; Methanobacteriota.